UGCCGUGAAACAUUGUAUAAAAGGUGCACGCGUUGUUUUGUGUCUCUUUUUGUCAUUCCAUUGUAGAAAUAUCGUGAUUGAAGUUAGCAUGUGCUGUAUGUAAAGUUAUUACUUGGUAAUUGAUAGGUGUAAUUUGAUGAUGCACAUGAAUUUAUCGAUAUCACAGGGUCGGAUUUGACCAUACUGCGAUGUUGUAAAUUAGGAAUUGGUAACAUGACUUGUGAUUGUGCGCUAUGUAAUUUUCCUGUAUCUCAUUUCAGUAAAAGGUUUUCUUAAAUAUAUCUUCACAGGGUCUGGAAAGUAGACCAUGCAGUGAGAUAUUGUAAGCUUAAUCCUUGUUGUUAACUGUGUAUUCCAUAAUCUGUCCGUCACAUGUGGUUAAGUCUAUGUGAGGAUUGUAGGUUUAUCCCUUAGUAUUGAAGUAUGGAUGCAGUUAGAUUAUGUACAUACUCACAGGGUCUUGAAAGCAAACCAUGGCGUGAGAUAUGCAUGUCACGAGUCCUAUGGUUUGUGUCAUGUAUCUAACUAUUGAUAGGUAGAAUAAGUAGUUGUUGUACAAUCUACAAAAAUACGGUUUGUAGAAUCUGGCAGAACAUUUAAUUAUGCCACAAGGGUAAACUUUAUUUAAAAUUGGGGUCUUAGACUAAUCAUCCCAGAUGUUUUGUAAAAUGGCGCCCAGGGUCUGGCAAACAUUUUUGUGACUGCACAGUAUGGCAGUCAUUACGUAUAGUAUGUACCAUAUAGGUUAAUACCUUUAAGUAAUAUAUAUAAUAUAUAAUAGGGACUGAUUGCCCAAAGCAGUCCGAAGCAGUCCUAGCCAGUUCCGCGUUUCAACGUGGUGUGAAUAGGUGAUAUAUUCGGUCAAUAUCAUUAAAAAUGACUGUAAAGAAAGGCGAACAUGGGUCGAACGGCAUGCGGAACGGCCCUGGACAAACUACCCCAUUGGUUCCACAAAAUUACAUUAAGGAGAUAAGUGGAUGGUUUUGGAGAGAUGUUGUGAUUUUUAAUGAAACAUUGAAUAAUGAUGUGAUUGUGUAUUGGGGCUAUAGCAAACUUCACAGAGUCUCGGGUUGACCAUGCUUGUGAAGUAUGUUAGCGGAUGGUAUAUCAUAUGGAAGAUACAGUAUAUAUAGUUGUGUUAAUUGUACUUUUUCAUUUGUUUGGCCCUCGACGCGUUUCGGUCUCUUGACCUUCAUCAGGAGGGGCUUUUAGGGAUGGGAGUCGAUGUUUUGUUGGUUAGUGGCGUGAAAAAUGGUAGUGAGAUUGGUGUUGUUCAUAAUGAGUGAUGGAGAAAUGGUGAGUGGUAAAAUGAUGGAAAACAAUGAAACAUUGAUGAAAUAAAUAUGAAAUAAAUGAUAAAAAACAUUGGAACCCAGAAAAAUCUUAGUUUAACUAUCUUAACGUAAAAGACUUACUGAAUGAUUUGUUUGGUGGCAGUCCGCAUCGCCCAGCCAUUUUACUGCUGGGGUUGACUAUUUUCAAUUCCCCCGAGUACGUUAUCCUUUUAUUUUUUGGUUGUUCGCCAAAUGUGCGUAUUCAAGAAUGGGUGUUGUGCCCUUGAAGUCCAGUUUUAGUAAGUUGUUCUUGAAUAGUUGACGUCAUGUGGUUUGGUAGCGUGCAUGUUUGUCAGGUGUUAAUUAGGUAUCAGUUUGUAUGUAUAAUUAGAGUGUGAUGUGCCGUGGGCUAAACUGAUAACCAGGGAAUGUGUAAAAAAAAAAAAAAAUUUUGUAUAGACAUAAGUGUGAGAAUUGCUUGUCUGCCCCCAGAGCUAGUUGGUGAAGGAGGGAAUUGAAUUGGACCAGGCAUAUGCAUUUACAAAAAAUGCAUAUAAAACAUAAAAAAAACACAUAAACACUCGUAGAAAUAUUAAUAGUAUUAUGUACAUCAUGAUGCGUAUUUAUGUUAUUAUAUACAAAUUGUCGCGCGUGCAUGGUAGGAUCCAUAUACAUAUUGUGGUAUAUACACCGACUGUGUAUAUGAAUUUAAUUAAUUAGGAUUUCAUUUUCCUUUGUUUAAACCUCGGUGAUGUGAUGUGAUGUAGAUGGGAUGCAAUUGUCCCUAUAGUUUGUAGCUAUUUGAUUUAUAAAUAAUAUGUAUCUCUAAAGAGUGAGAAAGGCUUAAAAAAGAGUAGCAGUAGGCUGAAAAUUAUGAAAAAGUUCAUCGUCGAAUUUUAGUUAUCUGAUGGCACGAUAAGUUUUUUGUUGUUGAUUGCAGGAAAAAAAAAAAAUUCCAACUAGAUUGCAAGAGUCUUCCUUAUAUCUCUUGUUUUUCUUUUGUCCCCCCAUCAUCAUGCCUUUUUUGUUUUGGUAUUGUCUUCAGACAUCAUCAUUCUCUAUCUUGGUCUUUGGUGUAUGUUUUCAAAUAAGCAUGACAGC
Molecule: long non-coding RNA, 2375 nt
Filed under: Paramuricea clavata
Lineage: Eukaryota; Metazoa; Cnidaria; Anthozoa; Malacalcyonacea; Plexauridae
Source: RNAcentral